This is a long non-coding RNA of Trichechus manatus latirostris (Florida manatee), 1408 nucleotides long. RefSeq lists it as uncharacterized. The transcript has 4 exons. Lineage: Eukaryota; Metazoa; Chordata; Mammalia; Sirenia; Trichechidae. The record is from RefSeq and is a predicted model, not a curated record.
CCACCGAGGCGGCCAGGGACGCGCGGCGGCGGGCAGCUGGACACCUCCCCGCCCGGCUUUCAGCCUACAGGGCAGGCAGAUGACGUUUCUGAACCAGAUGAUGCCUGAGGAGCCUUCAUAGCUCUAAGCUAUUAGGAGAGUAAAACUGCCAGGCCUGGGACUGCUGAGCCUUGCCCUGCCUCUCAACACAAUGUCAGGAAGCCACACACCUGCUGGUGGCCCCUUCUCAGCGCUGACCCCGAGCAUACGGCCCCAGGAGAUCCUGGCCAAGUGCACACAGAAGGAAGACUCAGUGGAGCAGCCAGAGUUCCACUACGAUGAGUUUGGUUUCCGCGUGGACAAGGAAGGUAAGGACGGCUGUCCUUGGGGAAGACUCGUGCCAAUGACUCUCACCCCCAGAGUGUGACGACCCCUGGACAGCAUCUGAAGGCGGUGUUGUUACAAGUGUAUAGGGACCUCUGACUGCUUUGAGAUAAGUUUUAUUGAUCUCUAUCUGAUAAUAAGAGUGAUAAUGUUCAUGGUGGAGAAGCUGGAAAAUACAGAGAAGUAUAAAGAUUAAAACAAAAUUAACCCAUAAUCCCACAACCUGAAAAUAACUGCUGACAAUCUGGCUGUGUUGUGUGUGUGUGUCUAUUAUAUAUAUUUUUCAUAACUAAGAUUUUAUUGUUUACACGUUUUUAUAUUGCUCUUGUAUCACUUAACAUACCAUGGGCAUUUUCCCAUGUUGGCUAAAAUCACUUUAGUACAACUUCAGUGGCUUUCAAUGGCUGCAUAAUGUCCCAUUAUAAUGGGUUUAUCGUAUGGUUUUAUAACCAUUUUCCCAUAAGUGGACCUCUGGGUCGUUUCCGUUGUUUUCUACUAUAAAUAGAGUGGCCUAUUGGGAAGCCGUCUGCCGGAACCCAGGGUAGCCUGUCACCAGGAUGUAAUCAGGACUAGAGCAUGUUAACUGGUUGAAACCAAUCAGCCUCCGGUCUCUCAGAUUUCCAGUUCUGGCAUAAAUUGCCCUUUUUCUUCUAGUUUGCAGGCAGAUAGUUGGAGGUUACACGCUGGGGAUGAGAGGGACCAAGGGAACUGUCUAGCACAAUUCUGUGUUGUGAUGGAGACAAGGGUUAUACAUUUGUAUGUUUAUUGAUGCUCGUCAUGGUGUACAUUUACAAUGUGUGCAUUUUAUGGUAUGCAAAUGCAUUAAAGUUGACAUUUGAACAAGGCUUGGCUUUAGGCUGAAUGAGGAUGAGGUUUGCUGUGGGGCGAACCCACACAGAGAUGGCUGGGUUGCAGAGGAGAGCCUUGUCCUGGUUCAUUCCACAGGUAGCUCAUGGCAGCCAGCUGUGGGCUGUGCACUGUUUGCUGCACUAUCCACAGGGCCUCAGACAAAACAGAAGGCAGCCUUGGCCCUGUGGAGUUCCCA